UGAAUCUGACGACUCGCAAGUUGAUUUUCGACGGUCCGCUAACGUGGAAGCUGCGGUCCCACCGCACGGUCGACCUCCACGCACUGCUGUUUGAGGACAUGCUGGUGCUGCUGCAGAAACAGGACGACAAGUACGUCCUCAAGUGUCAGAACGCCAACGCCCAGUCGGCGCGGGACGAUCACAAGUUUACACACAGCCCCGUGCUCCGACUACAGAACUUACUGGCCCGGAACCUCGCUACUG
Aplysia californica (California sea hare) is the source of this 243-nucleotide long non-coding RNA. RefSeq lists it as uncharacterized. The transcript has 2 exons. NCBI's taxonomy places the organism in Eukaryota, Metazoa, Mollusca, Gastropoda, Aplysiida, Aplysiidae. The record is from RefSeq and is a predicted model, not a curated record.